UGGGGAAUUGUUCGCAAUGGGCGCAAGCCUGACGACGCAACGCCGCGUGGAGGAUGAAGGUCUUCGGAUUGUAAACUCCUGUUGCUCGGGACGAAAAGCUUCGACCUAACACGUCGAAGUCUGACGGUACCGAGUGAGGAAGCCCCGGCUAACUCUGUGCCAGCAGCCGCGGUAAUACAGAGGGGGCAAGCGUUGUUCGGAAUUACUGGGCGUAAAGGGCGCGUAGGCGGCCUGCUAAGUCGAACGUGAAAUCCCUGGGCUCAACCCAGGAACUGCGUCCGAUACUGGUUGGCUUGAAUCCGGGAGAGGGAUGUGGAAUUCCAGGUGUAGCGGUGAAAUGCGUAGAUAUCUGGAGGAACACCGGUGGCGAAGGCGACAUCCUGGACCGGUAUUGACGCUGAGGCGCGAAAGCCAGGGGAGCAAACGGG
RNAcentral lists this ribosomal RNA (428 nucleotides) under Acidobacteriota bacterium. Its description in RNAcentral is "Acidobacteria bacterium partial 16S ribosomal RNA". It matches the Rfam family "Bacterial small subunit ribosomal RNA", at positions 355 to 776 of the family's 1533-position model. Lineage: Bacteria; Pseudomonadati; Acidobacteriota. The record is from RNAcentral. RNAcentral also lists the same sequence under 1 other name.